RNAcentral lists this long non-coding RNA (579 nucleotides) under Anser brachyrhynchus (Pink-footed goose). Its description in RNAcentral is "lncRNA (ENSABRG00000016727.1)". The record is from RNAcentral. Lineage: Eukaryota; Metazoa; Chordata; Aves; Anseriformes; Anatidae.
CUGUUACACCUUGAAAUGCCAGUGCAACAGGCACUCCUAACUGCUUAGAGUCAUGUGUAAAGCUCAUAUAGGGGAAAGAGAGCAAGCCUUGUUUCCUGUAGAGCAUUGUGGCUGGAGGUUGGGAGACCUACCCCUGCUGCUAAAUGCAAGAAGGAUACCGUAGUUUCCUGGUCACAUACUCAACUUUAUACCUGGAUGUAUAAAUGGUUCAUGAAAGCAUUCAUAACAAUGUACCUACCCUUCUAGGCCAGAAAGUUAUGGAUAUUUAAAUACCUUAUUAAUAACUUCUCUAUUGUGUUGCUAUUUGUUUUUAGUUGAGCUAUGAUGCGUUCCCCAGAAAAAGACCCCAAAACAAAUGCUUAUAAAGGGAUUGUAAGCCCCUAUUUGCAGUAGAGUUUCUAUACUGAUCUCAGCGCAUCUAGAAAGUGAAAGGGUUAAUAAGUAUGAUGCUGAGGUUGGAUUUUGUUAGCAAUAUUUCCCUGUGUUAUUAUGAUGAAGGUAGCAGAGCUAGCUAAUCAAAAUCGCUUGUCCUUAAUCAUUUAAAAUUUGAUGAAGCAAUUCAUUCUCAUUGUAUUUUUG